AGAGUUCGAUUCUGGCUCAGGACGAACGCUGGCGGCGUGCUUAACACAUGCAAGUCGAACGAGACGAUUGAAAGCUUGCUUUUGAAAGUCGAGUGGCAAACGGGUGAGUAACGCGUAGACAACCUGCCGUAAAGAUGGGGACAACAGUCCGAAAGGACUGCUAAUACCGAAUGUUGUGGAACUUCCGCAUGGGAGCUCUACUAAAGAUGGCCUCUACUUGUAAGCUAUCGCUUUACGAUGGGUCUGCGUCUGAUUAGCUAGUUGGUGGGGUAACGGCUUACCAAGGCGACGAUCAGUAGCCGGUCUGAGAGGAUGAACGGCCACAUUGGAACUGAGACACGGUCCAG
This 347-nucleotide ribosomal RNA is filed under the name uncultured bacterium. RNAcentral's name for it is "bacterial SSU rRNA". It matches the Rfam family "Bacterial small subunit ribosomal RNA", at positions 8 to 334 of the family's 1533-position model. The record is from RNAcentral.